ACUGUUUACCAAAAACAUAGCCCUCGGCUAAUAUGAAAAUAGAUGUAUAGAGGGUGAUGCCUGCCCAAUGGUUGUAUCUAAAAGCGGUUGAUAAAAGUUGACCUCGUAAGGACAAUUGAAUGGCCGCGGUAACACUGACCGUGAUAAUGUAGCGUAAUCAAUAGCCAAUUAAUUGUUGGCCAGUAUGAAUGGCGCCACGAAGGCCCCACUGUCUUAAGGAAAUUCCCAGUGAAAUUGAAUUCGUAGUGAAGAUGCUACGUCCAAUUUGUUAGACGAAAAGACCCCGUUGAGCUUUACUGGAGCACUUACAUGGCCCCGGCCUUCCCAUGCCUGGGAACCGGCCGAAUUUAAAUGGGCGGCUUAGAUUAUGUGGCAGCCCCCCGCUGGGGCAAAUGAAACACCACUCCCCCAUGUCAAAGGGGCUAACCCCCCCCCCUUGGGGGGGAC
RNAcentral lists this ribosomal RNA (447 nucleotides) under Zoanthus sansibaricus. Its description in RNAcentral is "partial 16S ribosomal RNA". It matches the Rfam family "Bacterial large subunit ribosomal RNA", at positions 1799 to 2252 of the family's 2925-position model. The record is from RNAcentral. Lineage: Eukaryota; Metazoa; Cnidaria; Anthozoa; Zoantharia; Zoanthidae.